ACCCUCGUGGUGUAAUGGCUAGCACACUCGACGCAUAUUCGAGAGGUCCGAGGUUCGAAUCCCGGAGAGGGCA
This 73-nucleotide transfer RNA is filed under the name Stegodyphus mimosarum. It matches the Rfam family "tRNA". Rfam says of the family: Transfer RNA (tRNA) molecules are approximately 80 nucleotides in length. The record is from Rfam by way of RNAcentral. Lineage: Eukaryota; Metazoa; Arthropoda; Arachnida; Araneae; Eresidae.